UGGGAUCUUAUAUGUUCAAUUCUUAAUUGUCGUUUCAAAUCCUUGGACUAGUGGCUGGGAUCGUAUUAGUUAUUUGGAGAUACCUAUUUGUACGGAAAUUCAGUUAGUAAGUUGAAUAUAGCCCUCUUGUUCUAGCCAUGUGCAGUUGAAUUGAAUAUUUUCGGUCCGCUGCUCAUUCUUGAUUUUUGCAAAAAAAUCUAAAAUCCUUGGUCAGUGGCAUGUUAAUUAUACAUUGCUCGCUAGUUCUAUGCACAUACAAUACUUGGUUGGGACUGAAAACUGUAGCACUUGAGCAAGAAAGGCUGACUACCGAUUCAUUAGCAUGUCAAUAAAGUCAAUCUGGUCUUCCUCUAUGAACUUGUUAGGGCUCAUUAAUAGCAUGGUUUUGCUCACUGAAAUAGGAGAGGAGCUGCACAAAACAGAAAAAGCACACAUGGACAAGUACACUUGACGCAAGAUUGACGAAAUAGAGGAAGAGAGCAUAGGUAAAAACUGAGACCAAAGGCACUGAGACUUGAGUAAUAAUUCCAGUAAGCUCAUAGUACUACUUCCACAACCACGAAUGGUAAAUUUUAAAAGUACAAAUGAAAGCAUAGAAAUUAACACAAAUUGCUAGUUUAGGUCUUCAAUGAUUUCCGAACAGAUUGAAAGUCCAAGCCUUGAUGAAUUGAUAGUUCACACAUGUUUUGUGAAGUAUUUUAAACGAAAUUGCAAUUGAAAUCCAGGUGCAGCUACUGUAGAUAUAUUUGUUGCAAUUAGUACACAUUUUUUCCCUAUCCAAGGUCUUCUACUAUUUCAAUACCCAUCAUAUGUGAAAAUUUGUGGUGAUAAAAGAAAUACAUCUACAGUCUGUAAUUCGUUCCUGAAAGUGAAACUUAACAAUAUCAGUGAGUGCUGAAAUGUACACUCUUGUUUGAUCUAAUUUCUCGAUUCCCUUUCCUUGUACUUCUAAGAAAAUAAUUAAGUCUUGCAUUAGGUAUAGAACACAAAGACAACAUUAGUUGCAUCUUUUAUUGAGGAAGAAACUCAUUAGAUCUAUCUAGGUUGAACAAGUUUAUGUCUAAACUGUCAUAUUUAUUCACAGAUUUUGUCUGCUUGCUUCAAAACAGAAAUGUGGCUUUUGCUUGCUGAUAAUUUCGGUUAUGUUGUGGCUGCCUAUUACUCAAUAUGAUCUCAUUUCAUAUCAUCAAUUUCAGGAACAUUAUCUCAGCUGUCGUUGAUUUCAGAACAGAUAGUUAGCAUUGUACCUUCAAGGGACUAUCCUUUUGCCUACUGAGCAAACAAAACAAAUGUGUAUAUAUAUUUAUUUAAGUGAAACAACAUGCUCCCAUUUUUGGUCAAUCGGUGGAUCUGACUAAUACAUAACUACAUAUAUAUGUGUGAGGUAUUAUUCAUGGGUCAUUUUUCGUAAUUCGAGUAAGCUGAAACUGAUGGUCUCAGAUGGUUUGUGUAUUAACUUUGAUCAGAACCUGCAUCUACAAAUACUGAGUAGAGGGUUGCCUUUUGUGCAGGAAUUUGCAGCAGGAUCCCUUGACUGCUCUCCGCUUGUCCUCACUCCUUAGACUUUCCCUUUGCUUAUCACCAUACAUUUUAUUCAGAGUGGUGUCAAGAUGCAUCUCCUCUGCCAAGAUGAUGGGCAGAGGGCCUAAGCUCUAGGUGAGCUCCUCCACCAAGCAUGUGUUGUAUAUUGUAUGAUGUUUGCAAUCUAAUGCUUUGCUCUGAUAUUUUAAUUUCAUGUAACAUGCAUACUCUCAUGGAUCUGUACGCAUGUGUUUGUAAGAACUUGUACGCAUGAGUUUGUAAGAAGUUGAAUGAUGGUAUGAUGCUUUAUUUUCUACAAAGUUGGGCUAUAUGCUCACUGCUGCUUCCUGAUAAUUGUGCAUGUAACUGGCUUUCUUCACUUCAUUUAAAUGAUUAUUAUGUUUUGGGCUUUGACUUAUGCAUAUAACAACACUACCAAGCCAGUUUGUUGUACAUCUUCUGUUUUUGGUUGUUUGGACUCAAGAGUAACUCAGAAGUUUGAAAAAAUGUACUAUGAUAAUAUUGCUCAAACAUAUGGUGCUUUUGUAGGGUCAAAUGGUGGGAAGUAUCAAGUCGAAGAUAUUAUGGCUUUUGUACAUAUUGUAUUUUCUUUAAAUGGAAGUUGAUGUCGGUUUGGUGAUCGAAGACUUGGGCUCUUCCAUAGUGUUUUGUAGAGUGAUCGAACUUAAGUCUCUUAUGAACUAGGCCCAUAUUUUAUAACAUGCCACAACUUGUAUGUUGACUUGAGUAUUUUUUUCAAUGGUUGUAGCAAGGAAAACUAAUGGGUCUUCUAUAUAUGUUGAAUAAAUGCGUUGGUCAAUGGCAUUUUGUGAUGAAUAAAAGAGUGUAAUUGUUGGUAUAUCUAUUGCAAAGUGAACAUGAAUUGAAUAUUUUAAAUUUAUUUUCAUGUUAAUAUAUGUCGCAUUUGCAUUUGUGCUGAAA
RNAcentral lists this long non-coding RNA (2463 nucleotides) under Triticum aestivum (bread wheat). RNAcentral describes it as "long non-coding RNA (TAES_LNC005317)". Lineage: Eukaryota; Viridiplantae; Streptophyta; Magnoliopsida; Poales; Poaceae. The record is from RNAcentral.